RNAcentral lists this long non-coding RNA (8432 nucleotides) under Triticum aestivum (bread wheat). Its description in RNAcentral is "long non-coding RNA (TAES_LNC024111)". Lineage: Eukaryota; Viridiplantae; Streptophyta; Magnoliopsida; Poales; Poaceae. The record is from RNAcentral.
UUUUGUUUUGUUUACUUUUGUUUUUAUUUAUUUCCUUGUUUUUGUUUUCUUUUACUUAUUUAAUAGUUUAUAGUUUUUAGAAAAAGUGAAACCCACCCCUCAAUUAGAUUUGUAAACUCAACUGUUCUCACAAAAAGUUUGGGACAAAAGUAAAGUACCUUGUAUUCUCUAUUAAUUAAAAAGACAUUUAAGUUAUUUUUUCGGCCAUUGUUUUAUUUAUUUUAGUGCCUUUAAUUAUUUUAUAAUAAUGUGGAUUCUCCACCAUAAUUACUUAUGAUUUAUUUGUCACAUUGGGAACAUUAUAGUUUUAACUUUUGAAAACUUUUGUUGUUUGACUUUAUUUUAAAUUUGAAUUUUGAAUCAGUUUUGAAUCAGUGUGAGUUUAACAACAGUAAUCAUGGUAAGAUGGCAUCAUUAGUAGGGAAUUACUGUAGCUUGAUUAUCACGGCAUCACAAUUCUCCUCCAGUACAAGAAAUCUCGUCCCGAGAUUUAAGAGGGGAGUAAAGGGGAAGAAUAGGUAAUGAAAUUCUAACGAUUCUUCUUGGUCUUGGUUGCUCUUCUCGAAGAGGUUGAUCCAUUACAAUGGUGUCUUCAUUCCUAUGCUUCAGUUAUCGUGAUGAAGCCGGCAUCCUUCCUUCAGGAUCUCCAUCGUACUUACGAUAGAAUAAGGGGGGUAUUCCAGAAGAACGGAUCUCUGCAAGGUUGACUAUCUGGUCGAUAACGCCGGGGAAGGUGGCGGAAAGUAACUCUCAAAUUGAAACUUAAGAAAACAUCGAGAGCAAGGUAAGUAGGUACCAUGAGAAGUUUCAAGCGGGUAGGCAAUCGUUCGAUGCCUGAAACAAAGUGUGAAAGGGGUCUAGAGCAACGAGAAUAAGUAUUGCGUCUGAUACCAGAAUAGAUCACUUGGCAGGUGGCCCGUGAAUUACAUAUGAAGUCAAGCGCGAGGAUAACUUUGACAACAGGGUGUACAGGAGAGUCAGGUUUCGAUCCUGUGGAACUGUGGGUUAUGGGCCCACCAUGUGGGAUAAAAGUAGGAGGAGUGGUGACAUCUUGCAUGGUCAUGAUAGCAAGGCAUGUCAGAGGGUAGCCUGUCAGUUAUGUCGGCAACAACAUCGGUACCAAGGGCGAGGGACGAAGAGAACCAUUUUCCUGCUCGUCGAACGAGGCGGACCAAUAGGCAAAGUUCUCGUCCAUGGGUGGUUACCGGAAUGUUUUCAACAAUAGUAACAGGGUCUUACUAACAGAAUUGUACACCGAGGUGUUUACAUAAGCAGGAGAAUAUUACUGCUUAGAUCAUAUAGAUCACAAGAAAGGUUAAACCAAACAGUGGAAAGGAAAAUUAUGAUUCUCAGUUUAAACAUGAAAAUGGAAAGGAAAAUGUGUUUAAGCACAUACUUCAAGGGUAUAUCCUCCCCAAGGACAAGCAGAGCAUGAUAUCCAUGACAGGAUAUAAUGUAUUAGACCCUUUAGGUAAGGGGAGAGAAAUUGCAUGCCAUUACCCAUACAACAGUGUUUGGAUAAUUGAUAAAGAAAAUUUAGCAUUGUGCUUCAGAUGUUCUUAUUGAAAUUCGGAGUACCACAGACAUGCUUCGAGAUAGCAUUGACAUGGUCUUCAAGCAAAGGUUGGACUUUGCAUACACAAAGGAUCCAUCAGGAACACUCAUAGAGUAAGUCUUACGAUUUCCUCAUGGAGAAAUGGAUAAUCUUACUAAAAAGGAAACUAUAACAAUAGGGCCUCCGGCCAGGUGUGCUAGGCAUGACAUCAUCUUACCGGGUCAUAUAUAAAGACCAAUGUUAUAACUCUUGGAUAUAUGUUCCAACCAUCAUAUCUAACCGAGAUUCAGAUCCGAUUGGUGUCAGGAUACCUCAGACUCAGGAUGCCCGAGGAGAAAAGGUGCGACACAAGUUGACGAGAUGACAUCGAAGAUUCUCGGGAAAUGAACUAUGGAAGCGAGUUUCGAAACAAGAGUUCAUCAUUAAAUCAAGGAGAGGGUGAGGAGUUGGCUGAUGGACUCAACGACAAUUCAUCGAGAAUUCCAACAAGUUGGAUUUCCACAAUUAUGUGAUCAGGGAGAUAACAUUUGUUGGAUCAAAUGAUAUAAUGAGGUAAGCUCGAGGAAAACAUACACAAUUAAACAUUGGUUGAAAAGUGCACCCGAAAUAUGGUCUUAGGUAGCAUGAUCAAUGUUAGAAUGGUGAUUCGAUAACCAAUGGUCUAAGAAUGAAAUAUCGACCAUUAACAUCAAAGCAAUAGGGUUGCUAGAAGUUUUGAAUUCGCAAGUCAUAAUUCAAUUGUCGGUUUUCCAGUUAGAUAUAACACAGGACCAAGGAACGAACAGAGAUGGCAACUUGUAUCAAAAAUUCUUAAAGAGGUGGAACAAUUCUCACAACAUCCUCGACAUACAGAUGGUAAUACUUCAAGGUAGAACACAAUAUAAGCUAGAUAGCAAGGAAAUCAAGGUACAACUCAAAACAUGAACAAGUUUGUGUUGGGGGGAGGCAAGAAUGUUUGUCGAUGAUAACACAAUCCUCGAGGGGUAAGGAUGGUAUUUCUCAUCACGAAUUCGAUUGAUAUCCUGUAAGAGCUCAGAAUGUUGAUGAUGAUCACGACACAAUUGUCGAGAGAUUUCAUGAAGAUGUAAUCAAUCAAUGAUGACAUCAAGUCAAAGGAAUGAUGAAGCGAAAGGUUAUUGGAACCACGAGUACGACACAAACUCGAAAUCAAGCUUGCUGUUCAAGGACAAAUGGUAUGACGAGGAAGAUUGACGUAAGAUUAGCUCACCGUCAAAAAUUUUGCUCCGGGAAGAAGGACCAGGUAGCACAGUUAAAAUCGGCAUGACAAGGAUAUAGCCAAGCAGGCUAGGAAUGACGUGAUCGAGUUCAAACUCGUAAGUAAUGAAGGUUACCAAGAGUUGUUUAAUCACGGUGCGGACUCGACUCAGUUAUCGGUGUCUUUGAGUGUUUAAUAACUCAGAGCCCGUGAAAAAUUGGAAUCAGUGAGAAUGUAGCACUUGAUGAAGAACUCAUAAGAAGUUAUGCAGUUCCAUGAUAAUCUCGAGAUACCAGGGGGGUAAUACUCGACGACAGAUCAAAGUAGAGGUUGGACUAGGGUAUUGCUCUGCAGAAGACAAGUGCUCAAACUAGCACGAGAAAUGGAAUCAAGGAGAAACAUGGUCGGAACCACGUCCACAGAUACAAGAUGAACUUAUAACAAGGGGAUAAUUAUUUUAAGAGAAGCUUCCAUGAUAAGGUAUACAUCGUGUCCAUGGGCAUGAACACAGGGUUCAAGGUCGACUCCCACUUGUUCAACGCAUAACCUUUCAUUCACCUCUCGUAUUUCGAAAAUGACAUUUGUUGUUGAAAGUUUUUACCUGAUGCAAUACCAGAUAAGUAUGACCCAUGAAAUCUUUCGGGUUCACACGGAUUAGGGAAGGCGUAGGUUCAACCCAUCGGGGCAUCUUAGAAACAUAUACCACAAAUUUUUAGGAGUAAUUAACACAAGCUCAAAAGUAGAGCAUGGUUGUCAAAGCAUUAUGCAUCAGGGAAAGAACUCACAAGAUUUGAAUGCGAAUGAUACCAUCGGAUAACAACCCAGCAAUGGGUUUGGUGGUCCAUAACGGAGCUGACUUGAGUAUCGGUACUCAAUCAGAGGAAGAAAGAAUGCAAAGGCAUCAGAUUAUGGGAAUAACUAACUAAUUCAAAUCUCAAAUGCAAAGGAAUUGCGAUUUCCAAAUCAAGGGAUCAGAAGCAAACGCUCUGAUUAAGGAUGGAUAAGUUGAGUAGACUUAGGGGUACAACCGACGGCAAUUCAGUUGGUCGAGAACCAGUUCAUGUUUAAAAUGACUUCUGAUCCGGAACGAUGAAUUCUAGGAUUUCGACUGAGGAUUGCGAGCAUUCACCACAUAUCAAAUCAAAGGCUGAAAAUGACGAUGACAAGGGAUACUAAUGAAUAUUGCUAGACAUAUGGAACACAACCAUAUAUGCAAGCAGACAAGUAUUUGCACAUCAACAGCUGGCAGAGAAUUACCGGACCGGAUAGCAUAUCAAUGUACCUUGUGGAUCAUAUGAUCAACUAGUAAUGAAUAGUUCCUCGAUAAGGGUGAAGAAUUAUUCGUAGGGGUAUUCAUGCGGCGAGGAACUGCGGGGUAGUAAUCAUAAAGGAUGCUUGGAACAUCGAAGAGUAUUUGAGGGCACCUUGUAAUAACAAGGGCAACUGGGGAUGAAAGUAUGAACGACAAAAGUAUGUAGUUAUCCAUAAACAUUUAUCGGUGGUAGGGAUCGGAAUGGUGAAGGGCACAAGGGUCUCGGGAAAGCAUCAGAGAGUGUCUUCAGAAUCUUCUGGUGCAGCAGGCGAUCAUCUGGCCUGAAGGGGCUCUCCGGGAGGAAGUAUUUUCGAGAACCUAAAGUUAGAUUUUAGAAAAUCAUUUAACCCGAAUAGAAAAGAGGUCAGAAUCCCAGAGUAUAGACAAGGCAUAAAAGAUCCUAAUACCACCCAAUGGAGACGUGGGCCCGUAAGCCACACAGCCAUGUUAGUAAAAGUUUUGCAAUGUCUAGACUCGACUUCGGCCAAGGAGUGUGGAAAGGGGAUUCCUACAGGCAAUCGGCUCUGAUACCAACUUGUGACGCCCCGAUUCAAUCGUACACUAAUCAUACACGCAAAUGUGUACGAUCAAGAUCAGGGACUCAUGGGAAGAUAUCACAACACAACUCUAAAAAUAAAAUAAGUUAUACAAGCAUCAUAAUACAAGCCAGGGGCCUCGAGGGCUCGAAUACAAGUGCUCGAUCAUAGACGAGUCAGCGGAAGCAGCAAUAUCUAAGUACAGACAUAAGUUAAACAAGACUGCCUUAAGAAGGCUAGCACAAACUGGGAUACAGAUCGAAAGGGGCGCAUGCCUCCUGCCUGGGAUCCUCCUAAACUACUCCUGGUCGUCGUCAGCGGUCUGCACGUAGUAGUAGGCACCUCCGGUGUAGUAGGAGUCGUCGUCGACAGUGGCGUCUGGCUCCUGGGCUCCAGCAUCUGGUUGCGACAACCAGGUAGAAGGGAAAGGGGGAAAAGAGGGAGAAAAGCAACCGUGAGUACUCAUCCAAAGUACUCGCAAGCAAGGAGCUACACUACAUAUGCAUGGGUAUAUGUGUAAAGGGCCAUAUCGGUGGACUGAACUGCAGAAUGCCAGAAUAAGAGGGGGAUAGCUAAUCCUGUCGAAGACUACGCUUCAGGCCACCUCCAUCUUGCAGCAUGUAGAAGAGAGUAGAUGGUAAGUUCACCAAGUAGCAUCACAUAGCAUAAACCUACCCGGCGAUCCCCUCCUCAUCGCCCUGUUAGAGAGCGAUCACCGGGUUAUAUCUGGCACUUGGAAGGGUGUGUUUUAUUAAGUAUCCGGUUCUAGUUGUCAUAAGGUCAAGGUACAACUCCAAGUCGUCCUGUUACCGAAGAUCACGGCUAUUCGAAUAGAUAAACUUCCCUGCAGGGGUGCACCACAUAACCCAACACGCUCGAUCCCAUUUGGUCAGACACACUUUUCUGGGUCAUGCCCGGCCGCGGAAGAUCAACACGUCGCAGCCCUACCUAGGCACAACAGAGAGGUCAGCACGCCGGUCUAAAUCCUAUGGCGCAGGGGUCUGGGCCCAUCACCCAUUGCACACCUGCACGUUGCGUGGGCAGCCAGAAGCAGAACUAGCCCCCUUAAUACAAGAGCAGGCUUACAUUCCAAUCCGGCGCGCGCCGCUCAGUCGCUGACGUCACGAAGGCUUCGGCUGAUACCACGACGUCGAGUGCCCAUAACUUUCCCACGUAGUUGGUUAGUGCGUAUAGACCAAAUGGCCAGACUCAGAUCAAAUACCAAGAACUCGUUAAGCGUGUUAUUUUUAAGUAUCCGCGGACGCCGACUAGGGCCAGGCCCACCUCUCUCCUAGGUGGUCUCAACCUGCUCUGUCGCUCCGCCACAAAGUAACAGUCGGGGGCCGUCAGGAACCCAGGCCCACCUCUACCGGGAUGGAGCCACCUGUCCUUUCAGCCCCCUCAUCAGAAUCACUUGCGGGUACUCAACGAGCUGACCCGACUUUAGUCACCACAUGUGUCAUGUAUAUAAAGUAUAUAGUAUAUACACGUGAUCACCUCCCUAGUGAUCAUGGCCCGAUAGUAUAGCAUGACAGACGGACAAGAAUGUAGGGCCACUGAUGGAACACUAGCACCCUAUACUAAGCAGUAGGAUAGCAGGUAAGGGUAACAACUGUAGCAACAAUGACAGGCUAUGCAUCAGAAUAGGAUUAACCGAAAGCAGUAACAUGCUACACUACUCUAAUGCAAGUAGUAGAGAGAAGAAUAGGCGAUAUCUGGUGAUCAGGGGGGCUUGCCUGGUUGCUCAGACAAGAAGGAGGGGUCAUCGGUGACGUAUUCGACCACAGGGGCAUCAGCAUCGUCACGGGGUCUACCGAAGAGAAGAGAGGGGAGAAACAGUAAAUACAUAUUAAGCAAGUGCAUAACAGGGCAACAUGCAGAGCUAGACGUGUUCUAACGCGGUAUGAGGUGAUACCAGUGAAGGGGGGAAACAUCCGGGAAAAUAUCCCCGGUGUUUCGCGUUUUUGGGCAGAUGAAUCAGAGGGGAAAAGUUGCGUGUUCGCUAUGCUAGGGAUGUGUGGUGGACGAACGGGCUAAGUAACCAGACUCGUCUCAUCGUUCUGAGCAACUUUCAUGUACAAAGUUUUUUCAUCCGAGCUACGAUUUAUUUUAUAUUAAUUUUAAAAGAUUUAAAAUGAUUUUCUAAUUUCUGGAUUUAAUUUAAUUCGAAAUUAAAUUUGUAUUUAGAUGCUACGGGUACACAGGAAGUGUACCCAGAGUGUGUCUAAGGGGCUGACAGGUGGGGCUCUGGUCAAAAGUCCAGUCAGCGUUUGACUGGACCAUUGACUGGUCAAAAGGGCCCAUGGGACCCGCAUGUCAUUGAUACAUGAUUUGCUAAACAACAUUUGAUUAACUAAUCUGGUUGAUUAGGUUAUUAAGCAGGUUAUUUAAUUUAACUAAUUAACUUACUAACUAAUUAAUUAAUUAACAAUUAUUAUUUAAUUAAUCUUUUUUUGUUUUAUUUUUGGGCGUGGGCCCCGUCUGUCAUAGGCACAUGGGGCCUAUCGGGCGUCGGGUUACGGGCGCAGGCGUGCGGGUGCAGGGCGCGGGCGUGCGCCCAUGGCCACCAGGGGAGCGAACUCCGCCAGGAGGGAGGGUGCGGCCCCGGGUGGGGACGGCGGCCACGGCGUGCGGGCAGCGGUGAGGUCCAGUGGAUGAGCGAGGCGACGACCGGAGCGACGGCAACGCCAACAGCAAGCAGCAAGUAGGGGUUCGAGUAGUAGGGAGAAGAAAAACGAACGAAGCUCACAUAGGGAGCUCAUGGAGGCUCUGCGAAAGCUUAGGAGCAGCAGGGGUUCGCCAUAGUCGACGACGAACGCCGGCAGCUGAAGCGGAUAGCUGAAGUCGAUCUGCUCAACUUGGCGCAUCCCAGCUCGUUCUGCUCCUCGAUGACGGUGUAGUGGACGACGACGGAGUGGCCGGACAUGGCCUCACGACGCGGGGACGACGGUGAUGCUUGGCGGCGGGGAAGACGCACACGGCGACUGGUCAUGGAAGGAGGCAAGCAGUAGAAUGAGAUGCGCCACGUGGGGAAGGAUGGGGCGCAUGGCGGAGGCAGAGGGCACCGUAGCAUGGCAGCUAGGAGGUGAGCAGCAAGGCGACGGGGAGGCGCUGGUCAGCGGUGGCGCGAGGAGGGAAAGCGAGGGAGGGAUAAGGGGAUCGAGUAGAGGCGUUUCCCCCCAUGCGACUGCUUGUGCAUGUGAGGCGGCGCUCACAUGGAGACAAAGGAACGAUGGGGGAUUGAGAGGGUAGAUCGAGCUAGGGUUAGCUGGUGGGGGUGGGCCGACCAGCCCGGGGUGGCUGUGGCCAGCCGGCUGGACCAAGGCCCAAUUGGCCAUGGGGAGUUCUUUUACCUUUUGUUUUGUUUUACUUUUGUUUUUAUUUAUUUCCUUGUUUUUGUUUUCUUUUACUUACUUAAUAGUUUAUAGUUUUUAGAAAAAGUGAAACCCACCCCUCAAUUAGAUUUGUAAAAACAACUGCUCUCACAAAAAGUUUGGGACAAAAGUAAAGUACCUUGUAUUCUCUAUUAAUUAAAAAGACAUUUAAGUCAUUGUUUUAUUUAUUUUAGUGCCUUUAAUUAUUUUAUAAUAAUGUGGAUCCUCCACCAUAAUUACUUAUGAUCUAUUUGUCACAUUGGGAACAUUAUAGUUUUAACUUUUGAAAACUUUUAUUGUUUGACUUUAUUUUAAAUUUGAAUUUUGAAUCAGUUUUGAAUCAAUGUGAUUUUAAUAACAGUAAUCAUGGUAACAUGGCAUCAUUAGUAGGGAAUUACUGUAGCUUGAUUAUCCGGGCGUCACAUUAAACCUAUAGGAU